Molecule: ribosomal RNA, 253 nt
Filed under: Acanthamoeba genotype T4
Lineage: Eukaryota; Discosea; Longamoebia; Acanthamoebidae
Description: partial 18S ribosomal RNA
Rfam family: Eukaryotic small subunit ribosomal RNA
Source: RNAcentral
AUGAAAGAUUAACUUCUGCGAAAGCAUCUGCCAAGGAUGUUUUCAUUAAUCAAGAACGAAAGUUAGGGGAUCGAAGACGAUCAGAUACCGUCGUAGUCUUAACCAUAAACGAUGCCGACCAGCGAUUAGGAGACGUUGAAUACAAAACACCACCAUCGGUGCGGUCGUCCUUGGCGUCUCGGUUUCUGCCGGGGUGCGGGGACGGGUUAGCCCGAUGGCACCGGUGAAUGACUCCCCUAGCAGCUUGUGAGAA